AUUAACUUCAGUGAGCACAAGGACUGCAUCCAUAACUGUAAAUAUGAAAGUGUUUGUAUAGCUGAUGCAAUUCUAAAGGGGAUUUUUUUGAUGUUUUGAAGACAUAUUUUGUAUGAUAGGAGUAAUAUGCAGGGAAAGUCAACAGCUGUAAAUACAUUUUAGAACCAGUAUUUAGGGGAGGAGAAAUGACUUUGUGGAUGGUAUUUGAUUUUUUCCCCAACUUUUUUCUCCAUGCAUGUGCAACAAUCAAAUAGUUACUUAAAGAACACAAAUGCAGUUAUUUAAUUGUCUAUAUGAAGAUGACACUCAUGCUGUAAAUAAUGCAUUUUUCACAUGUUAAAGAGUCCUGUAGAAAUUAGUGGGAUUUAACUAUCCAUGUGUGUACAAUUUAACAUCCAAGGAGCUACCUUCAGGAAGCAUGUGUUAAAACACUGUUUGAGGCUGACUUUAAUCCUGCUGCCAUCAAUACCCCUGGAAAUUUUGUCAUGUAUUUUACCAGAAGCAAAAAUGAAUCUGUGUUGAAUUAGCUACUGACAGGUUAUUUUAUACUGAACAAAGGAGAGCUUUGCAUUUUCUAGUCAACAAAUGGAAAUGAAAUGUACUUACAGCAAAUGUGGUGAAGAAGAUCCAUAAAAGUAUUGUCAGUGUGGAAACAGAGCUAUGACUAUGAUUCUGAGAGUCCAUUAAAUAUUUUGGUUUAUUCUAUUCUGAUUUCAUAAACAGAGCUUUCUGGUCUCAGCAGUUCUAGUCAGACUUGAAAGUUAACCUCAAAACUGGCUUUGAAGCCUGAUUUCUGCAAAACUUUUAGGCCCUGAAAGUCAUUUGGCCAGACUACCAACUCUGAGAAACCACUUCGGGAUACCUGGGAGUGAAGAGCAAAAGCUCACUGUGUCUGCUUUCUGACACCUUUUAUUUGUUGUUGGACAUGGUGUUCUUUUUCCUUAGAUUUCAAUUUAUUCUUAGCAUAUGGAGGGUUCAUCAGCUGCCCUUGUGAUAUAUUGUCCUAUGUCCCAGACAGCCAGAGGGCAAAGCUUCCUGACUGUCAGGGCAGGUCCAGUACAGGAAAUUGAUUUCCAGCAUCCCAUUUCCCAGUCUGGGCCUGUGUGACUUCUAGAAGAGUGCUUUAGCCAAAGUGGCAUGGAUCAGUGGACAGUUUUCUGAAGUAUUCUCCUUAUUUCAUGGGCACCAGAGAAGAAUGGUAUUCUCUUUAUAUCAUGGGCACCACAAGUAGGCUAGAGAAGCAGUCAUAGUGCUAUGGACUUGGGGAGGAAAAAAGACAUCCUGGUUAGUUUCUGGAUAUUUUUUUUUUUCCCCAAGCAGUUGAGUUUGUCUAGCCCCUGGGCAUGCUUGAAGUUUGGAUAGAUAUUUUUUUAUAUACUUUCCAAAGCAGUUUUGAUCUACUUCUGGUUUUGCAAAUAGGCCUUUCAGUAUUUUGGCUUUGUUUUACCCACUUGACUACUCUGCAGAAAAAAAAGGCAAGGAAAAUUUUUAAAUGUGUAGAGAAUAGGGUAACUUGAAGCAUCAGUUCUUUUUGAAAUUAUUUUUGUUGUGACUUGCUUUGCAGUAUGAACUAGUACUCAAGAUCAAAAAGUGACUAGGUUGGACAAUUGUGUAGAUGUGCAUUUUUCCUAUGCCUUGCACAGCUGAGUCACACCAGAAGAUGGGAGAUCUGGUUGGGACAUAAAUUCUCAUGACACUUUAUUAUGUCAUUUUAUGAUAUCUAUUUAAAAAAGUAUAGUGAAAGGUCACUUUUAAAAAUAAUAUUAAUUCUUAUGCUUUAAAACCUUUGUGGAGGGUUUUAAAUCAUGACCUCAAGAAGUGUUUCUAUGAGAUGUCUGUUGGUGGGGGGCUGACCUAGGCUUAACCAAAACUGUGCAUCCCAGCACCUCCAAGAAAGGUGAACCUUCUUUGCACCUUAAAGCAUUUUAGAUCAAUGGGCUUUAAUGUUUGCAAGUUGAUGCACACAAACAUAUGUGUUUUUCCCAUGGAAGUGUAGAGACCAUUUAAAACAUUUCACAUAAGUAGAUUCCUUCAUAGUAUAAAUAAACUUGCUCUUCUUAGCUGCCUUUCACAGGCCUCUUGCUAAUAGUUCCCAUGUCUUCCACAGAGCACAGAUCAGAAGCUGCCUUGAGUUUAGAUUAUUCAGCAGAGAGAUUCUUUACUGGCUAAUGCGCUUUUCCUUUCUGGUUCAUCUGCAUUAGCUCAAUGCCACAAUGUUUAGGCUCCGAACUCUGUAAGGGAAUGUCUAAUCAAAAUAAUAAUAAUUGAUCCUCAAAAAGGGUUUCAAAACCUGCAUUUUUGGCUUCAACAAAUUGCCCGUAUUGCAAACAUACAUCUGUAUUACAGAGAAGCACAAGGAGACCCUUGACUCAGCUCAGCACUUCAGAGCACACUUAAAAUAAGCUCAACUUCAGCUUCUAAGUGCUUUGCUCACUUGGGACUGAAGGGUAUGGUCCUGGCCACGGCUGAACCAAAGGGAGAUUUGCCAUGUGCUUGAAUUUAAGAAAGGCUGGCUGUGUAAGCCAUAUUUAUUGCCAGUUCUUUCAGUUGUGCCAGUUAAAUUGAAAUUAAAAUAAUGGCUUCAUAUUCUGUCAAAGUUUGACAAAUUCUGCUAAUUUAGUAUUUAUUAAAAUUACUAAACAGUGGUCAUCUUAAUAACUGAUUCAUCUCAGAAUCGUCUUCCUGAGGAUUCUAUGGACAGUUUUCCUGCUUUUUUACCCUCAUAACUUCAACACCAAGGCUUCUACUGAAAGUGACAAAGAUUAAGCACAACUUUCAGAAGUAUCUGUUACUUAGCUUCCUGAAACCCACAGCUUCAGAGUCAGAUGUCUAGGUGCUUUGUCCUGGGCCACUGGUAGUUGGCCAGUUCUGAAACCUUUGUUUAUGGACAGUUUGUGUGUUCUGAGUUGUCUGUGACUACCACCAUCACUGUUAAAUUACCAGUUCCUGCUCUAGUGUGCUU
RNAcentral lists this long non-coding RNA (2962 nucleotides) under Taeniopygia guttata (zebra finch). Its description in RNAcentral is "lncRNA (ENSTGUG00000023984.1)". The record is from RNAcentral. Lineage: Eukaryota; Metazoa; Chordata; Aves; Passeriformes; Estrildidae.